This 465-nucleotide ribosomal RNA is filed under the name uncultured bacterium. Its description in RNAcentral is "bacterial SSU rRNA". It matches the Rfam family "Bacterial small subunit ribosomal RNA", at positions 338 to 795 of the family's 1533-position model. The record is from RNAcentral.
CCUACGGGACGCACCAGUGGGGAAUAUUGCACAAUGGGCGCAAGCCUGAUGCAGCCAUGCCGCGUGUGUGAAGAAGGCCUUCGGGUUGUAAAGCACUUUCAGUGGGGAGGAGGGCGGUGAGGUUAAUAACCUCACCGAUUGACGUUACCCGCAGAAGAAGCACCGGCUAACUCCGUGCCAGCAGCCGCGGUAAUACGGAGGGUGCAAGCGUUAAUCGGAAUUACUGGGCGUAAAGCGCACGCAGGCGGUCUGUCAAGUCGGAUGUGAAAUCCCCGGGCUCAACCUGGGAACUGCAUUCGAAACUGGCAGGCUAGAGUCUUGUAGAGGGGGGUAGAAUUCCAGGUGUAGCGGUGAAAUGCGUAGAGAUCUGGAGGAAUACCGGUGGCGAAGGCGGCCCCCUGGACAAAGACUGAAGCUCAGGUGCGAAAGCGUGGGGAGCAAACAGGCUUAGAUACCCUGGUAGUC